Molecule: ribosomal RNA, 445 nt
Filed under: uncultured bacterium
Lineage: Bacteria
Description: partial 16S ribosomal RNA
Rfam family: Bacterial small subunit ribosomal RNA
Source: RNAcentral
UGAACGCUGGCGGCAGGCCUAAUGCAUGCAAGUCGAACGGCUCUUCGGAGCAGUGGCGGACGGGUGAGUAACGCGUGGGAAUGUGCCCUUAGGUACGGAACAACACAGGGAAACUUGUGCUAAUACCGUAUGUGCCCUUCGGGGGAAAGAUUUAUCGCCUUUGGAGCAGCCCGCGUUGGAUUAGGUAGUUGGUGAGGUAAAGGUUCACCAAGCCGACGAUCCAUAGCUGGUCUGAGAGGAUGACCAGCCACACUGGGACUGAGACACGGCCCAGACUCCUACGGGAGGCAGCAGUAGGGAAUCUUGCGCAAUGGGCGAAAGCCUGACGCAGCCAUGCCGCGUGUGUGAUGAAGGUCUUAGGAUUGUAAAAUACUUUCACCGGGGAAGAUAAUGACGGUACCCGGAGAAGAAGUCCCGGCUAACUUCGUGCCAGCCGCCGCGGUAA